CUUGCCUGAGCUGCAGCAGGCCUUGACAUAGUUUCUGCUGUUUAUCAUCUUUGACUUGCGCUCGAAAGUAAUACUUACUGAUAGUAUCGUAAUUUACAUCACUUAUAAAUAGUACAGAUUGUUGCCAAGUAUGUUUUGUAAAUUGUGAUGGCCAACAAUAAUGAGCGGACACUUAAUUUUGUAUGCAUAUCAGAUCUAACUAUACUUGUAUUUUCUAUGCCCUGCAAGUAUACCAAACGAAAGAGCUGCUGUUUAUUUGGCAGUGAUGCUAGUUUUCAUUAGUAUUUAAUGGAUGAUAUGGAUGUAAAAUUCUGUGCAACCUCAUACUAAUUGGAAGCCAAUGAGCCAUCAAUCCAUUACUAUUAUAGAUGGUAAAACAUGUAUACAUAGAUCUGAUGUUAUGUAAAGUUACACGUUGCCUUUUUUCAAUGAACUGUGAUAUUCUAAACCUUAGCAAAUUGGCAAGGUUACAGUAUAAGUUUAUGCUUGAUUGAGUUGGGAACAUUUUGCGCAAAAUAGACGUAAAAACGGACUUUAAAACUCAAGAUUUAUAGUGUAGAGGACUAUAGUUGAAUGCUUGAGUAGGUGAGGGGCUUUUGGACAUUUGUUGCCUUAAUCCUUUCAACCUUAUCCCCACUGCCUAAAUUAGGAUAGGGAGGCUGUGAGGGACUUAAUUAUCUUUCUCGUCUCUCUCUCUAGACUUUGAUCGUGGCUUGGUGGAGAUUGCGGAUUGAGCUCGAAUCGACGUUGACAUUGCGCCGGAAAGCCGUUCGAGCGUACGUGCAUCGUGGUAACGCCGUUGGAGGCCGAGCGAGUGCGGAAUUUUUCACUUCUCUUCUCGCCGUCGUUGGAUUAGCUUUUCAAGGUGGUCGCUAAUAGCACGAAGAUUACCAAGUCGAAUAGAUAAUGAAAUCAAGAACUAUUGAAACACACGCGGUGCUAAAGAAAAAGGUGCAAUCUCAACCCACUCUCUUGGGGAACUGCUUACAUACGAACUGCAACGAAGAUAGUAAUCUCGAUGCUCGAAGUACAUCGUCAUCAGAAGAGUUGUGCACUGAAGUCGGGGGCCGACAAUCCGAAUCAACAUGGCAGUGAUUCGCAAAUUACUUGCAAAAGUACUGAUCUUUGGGACUCACUAGCUAGUUGCUGACUUAAUUGCUUUGGAUAGUUCAUCGGUUUUAGCUUCUCAAUAUUCAAAUAUGUGAAACAAUGAGAGCUGUUUGCAACUUAUGAUCAUAGUCAUAGUGUUGUUCAAUGAUAUGGAGCAUAUAAGUAAGAGUUGGCAAUGAAAUGAGAAAACUUACAUUGGGAUAUGCUA
This is a long non-coding RNA of Ananas comosus (pineapple), 1318 nucleotides long. RefSeq lists it as uncharacterized. NCBI's taxonomy places the organism in Eukaryota, Viridiplantae, Streptophyta, Magnoliopsida, Poales, Bromeliaceae. The transcript has 2 exons. The record is from RefSeq and is a predicted model, not a curated record.